GAUGAACGCUGGCGGCGUGCCUAAUACAUGCAAGUCGAGCGAACAGACGAGGAGCUUGCUCCUCUGACGUUAGCGGCGGACGGGUGAGUAACACGUGGAUAACCUACCUAUAAGACUGGGAUAACUUCGGGAAACCGGAGCUAAUACCGGAUAAUAUAUUGAACCGCAUGGUUCAAUAGUGAAAGACGGUUUUGCUGUCACUUAUAGAUGGAUCCGCGCCGCAUUAGCUAGUUGGUAAGGUAACGACUUACCAAGGCGACGAUGCGUAGCCGAUCUGAGAGGGUGAUCGGCCACACUGGAACUGAGACACGGUCCAGACUCCUACGGGAGGCAGCAGUAGGGAAUCUUCCGCAAUGGGCGAAAGCCUGACGGAGCAACGCCGCGUGAGUGAUGAAGGUCUUCGGAUCGUAAAACUCUGUUAUUAGGGAAGAACAAAUGUGUAAGUAACUAUGCACGUCUUGACGGUACCUAAUCAGAAAGCCACGGCUAACUACGUG
RNAcentral lists this ribosomal RNA (497 nucleotides) under uncultured bacterium. Its description in RNAcentral is "partial 16S ribosomal RNA". It matches the Rfam family "Bacterial small subunit ribosomal RNA", at positions 28 to 507 of the family's 1533-position model. The record is from RNAcentral.